Non-coding RNA from Paramuricea clavata, 99 nucleotides. The record is from the annotation of a GenBank genome assembly. NCBI's taxonomy places the organism in Eukaryota, Metazoa, Cnidaria, Anthozoa, Malacalcyonacea, Plexauridae.
AAGUAUUAAUGAAAAAUCACACUUGCGUUUGGCGAAAUAUUUAUAGUAUAAAUAUUUCGCCAAACACGCGUGCGAUUUUUCAUUAAUACUUGUCGAACU